GAGUUUGAUCUUGGCUCAGAUUGAACGCUGGCGGCAUGCCUUACACAUGCAAGUCGAACGGCAGCAUGAUCUAGCUUGCUAGAUUGAUGGCGAGUGGCGAACGGGUGAGUAAUACAUCGGAACGUGCCCUGUAGUGGGGGAUAACUAGUCGAAAGAUUAGCUAAUACCGCAUACGACCUGAGGGUGAAAGUGGGGGACCGCAAGGCCUCAUGCUAUAGGAGCGGCCGAUGUCUGAUUAGCUAGUUGGUGGGGUAAAGGCCCACCAAGGCGACGAUCAGUAGCUGGUCUGAGAGGACGAUCAGCCACACUGGGACUGAGACACGGCCCAGACUCCUACGGGAGGCAGCAGUGGGGAAUUUUGGACAAUGGGCGAAAGCCUGAUCCAGCAAUGCCGCGUGUGUGAAGAAGGCCUCGGUUG
RNAcentral lists this ribosomal RNA (418 nucleotides) under uncultured microorganism. Its description in RNAcentral is "bacterial SSU rRNA". It matches the Rfam family "Bacterial small subunit ribosomal RNA", at positions 9 to 425 of the family's 1533-position model. The record is from RNAcentral.